Molecule: transfer RNA, 68 nt
Filed under: Rhoptropus biporosus
Lineage: Eukaryota; Metazoa; Chordata; Lepidosauria; Squamata; Gekkonidae
Description: tRNA-Ala
Source: RNAcentral
AAGGCUUGCAAAACUUUUAUAUACAUCUGCUGAUUGCAACUCAGCCGCUUUAAUUAAGCUAAAGCCUC